RNAcentral lists this ribosomal RNA (643 nucleotides) under uncultured Actinomycetes bacterium. Its description in RNAcentral is "bacterial SSU rRNA". It matches the Rfam family "Bacterial small subunit ribosomal RNA", at positions 232 to 885 of the family's 1533-position model. The record is from RNAcentral. Lineage: Bacteria; Bacillati; Actinomycetota; Actinomycetes.
CGCGGCCUAUCAGCUUGUUGGUGGGGUAACGGCCCACCAAGGCUUCGACGGGUAGCCGGCCUGAGAGGGCGACCGGCCACACUGGGACUGAGACACGGCCCAGACUCCUACGGGAGGCAGCAGUGGGGAAUAUUGCACAAUGGGCGAAAGCCUGAUGCAGCGACGCCGCGUGAGGGAUGACGGCCUUCGGGUUGUAAACCUCUUUCAGCAGGGACGAAGCGAAAGUGACGGUACCUGCAGAAGAAGCACCGGCCAACUACGUGCCAGCAGCCGCGGUAAUACGUAGGGUGCAAGCGUUGUCCGGAAUUAUUGGGCGUAAAGAGCUCGUAGGCGGCUUGUUGCGUCGGCUGUGAAAACCUGGGGCUCAACCCCGGGCCUGCAGCCGAUACGGGCAAGCUAGAAUUCGGUAGGGGAGACUGGAAUUCCUGGUGUAGCGGUGAAAUGCGCAGAUAUCAGGAGGAACACCGGUGGCGAAGGCGGGUCUCUGGGCCGACAUUGACGCUGAGGAGCGAAAGCGUGGGGAGCGAACAGGAUUAGAUACCCUGGUAGUCCACGCCGUAAACGUUGGGCGCUAGGUGUGGGCCACAUUCCACGUGGUCUGUGCCGCAGCUAACGCAUUAAGCGCCCCGCCUGGGGAGUACGG